Molecule: transfer RNA, 74 nt
Filed under: Bacteroidota bacterium
Lineage: Bacteria; Pseudomonadati; Bacteroidota
Also listed under: 2 other names
Description: tRNA-Ile
Rfam family: tRNA
About the family: Transfer RNA (tRNA) molecules are approximately 80 nucleotides in length. Their secondary structure includes four short double-helical elements and three loops (D, anti-codon, and T loops). Further hydrogen bonds mediate the characteristic L-shaped molecular structure. tRNAs have two regions of fundamental functional importance: the anti-codon, which is responsible for specific mRNA codon recognition, and the 3' end, to which the tRNAs corresponding amino acid is attached (by aminoacyl-tRNA synthetases). tRNAs cope with the degeneracy of the genetic code in two manners: having more than one tRNA (with a specific anti-codon) for a particular amino acid; and 'wobble' base-pairing, i.e. permitting non-standard base-pairing at the 3rd anti-codon position.
Source: RNAcentral
GCGCCUAUAGCUCAGUCGGUUAGAGCAACUGACUCAUAAUCAGUAGGUCCCUGGUUCAAGUCCAGGUGGGCGCA